Molecule: ribosomal RNA, 2520 nt
Filed under: Listeria monocytogenes
Lineage: Bacteria; Bacillati; Bacillota; Bacilli; Caryophanales; Listeriaceae
Description: partial 23S ribosomal RNA
Rfam family: Bacterial large subunit ribosomal RNA
Source: RNAcentral
CUGAGUACGGCGGAACACGUGAAAUUCCGUCGGAAUCCGGGAGGACCAUCUCCCAAGGCUAAAUACUCCCUAGUGACCGAUAGUGAACCAGUACCGUGAGGGAAAGGUGAAAAGCACCCCGGAAGGGGAGUGAAACAGUUCCUGAAACCGUGUGCCUACAAGUAGUUAGAGCCCGUUAAUGGGUGAUAGCGUGCCUUUUGUAGAAUGAACCGGCGAGUUACGAUUUGUUGCAAGGUUAAGCGGAAAAAGCGGAGCCGUAGCGAAAGCGAGUCUGAAUAGGGCGCAUAAGUAACAGGUCGUAGACCCGAAACCAGGUGAUCUACCCAUGUCCAGGAUGAAGGUAAGGUAAUACUUACUGGAGGUCCGAACCCACGCACGUUGAAAAGUGCGGGGAUGAGGUGUGGGUAGCGGAGAAAUUCCAAUCGAACUUGGAGAUAGCUGGUUCUCUCCGAAAUAGCUUUAGGGCUAGCCUCGAGGUAAAGAGUCAUGGAGGUAGAGCACUGUUUGGACUAGGGGCCCUUCUCGGGUUACCGAAUUCAGAUAAACUCCGAAUGCCAUGUACUUAUACUCGGGAGUCAGACUGCGAGUGAUAAGAUCCGUAGUCGAAAGGGAAACAGCCCAGACCACCAGUUAAGGUCCCCAAAUAUAUGUUAAGUGGAAAAGGAUGUGGGGUUGCUUAGACAACCAGGAUGUUGGCUUAGAAGCAGCCACCAUUGAAAGAGUGCGUAAUAGCUCACUGGUCGAGUGACCCCGCGCCGAAAAUGUACCGGGGCUAAACAUAUUACCGAAACUGUGGAUGAACCUCUUUAGAGGUUCGUGGUAGGAGAGCGUUCUAAGGGCGGUGAAGUCAGACCGGAAGGACUGGUGGAGCGCUUAGAAGUGAGAAUGCCGGUAUGAGUAGCGAAAGAAGGGUGAGAAUCCCUUCCACCGAAUAUCUAAGGUUUCCUGAGGAAGGCUCGUCCGCUCAGGGUUAGUCGGGACCUAAGCCGAGGCCGAUAGGCGUAGGCGAUGGACAACAGGUAGAGAUUCCUGUACCAGUGCUAAUUGUUUAACCGAUGGGGUGACACAGAAGGAUAGGGAAUCGCACGAAUGGAAAUGUGCGUCCAAGCAGUGAGUGUGAGAAGUAGGCAAAUCCGCUUCUCGCGAAGCAUGAGCUGUGAUGGGGAAGGAAAUUAAGUACGGAAGUUCCUGAUUUCACGCUGUCAAGAAAAGCCUCUAGGAAGAGUAGUACUGCCCGUACCGCAAACCGACACAGGUAGAUGAGGAGAGAAUCCUAAGGUGAGCGAGAGAACUCUCGUUAAGGAACUCGGCAAAAUGACCCCGUAACUUCGGGAGAAGGGGUGCUCUAUUAGGGUGCAAGCCCGAGAGAGCCGCAGUGAAUAGGCCCAGGCGACUGUUUAGCAAAAACACAGGUCUCUGCAAAACCGUAAGGUGACGUAUAGGGGCUGACGCCUGCCCGGUGCUGGAAGGUUAAGAGGAGUGCUUAGCUUCGGCGAAGGUACGAAUUGAAGCCCCAGUAAACGGCGGCCGUAACUAUAACGGUCCUAAGGUAGCGAAAUUCCUUGUCGGGUAAGUUCCGACCCGCACGAAAGGCGCAACGAUCUGGGCACUGUCUCAACGAGAGACUCGGUGAAAUUAUAGUACCUGUGAAGAUGCAGGUUACCCGCGACAGGACGGAAAGACCCCGUGGAGCUUUACUGCAACCUGAUAUGGAAUGUUUGUACCGCUUGUACAGGAUAGGUAGGAGCCGAAGAGACGUGUGCGCUAGCAUACGAGGAGGCAAUGGUGGGAUACUACCCUGGCUGUAUGACCAUUCUAACCCGCCACGCUUAGCGCGUGGGGAGACAGUGUCAGGUGGGCAGUUUGACUGGGGCGGUCGCCUCCUAAAGAGUAACGGAGGCGCCCAAAGGUUCCCUCAGAAUGGAUGGAAAUCAUUCGCAGAGUGUAAAGGCACAAGGGAGCUUGACUGCGAGACUGACAAGUCGAGCAGGGACGAAAGUCGGGCUUAGUGAUCCGGUGGUUCCGCAUGGAAGGGCCAUCGCUCAACGGAUAAAAGCUACCCCGGGGAUAACAGGCUUAUCUCCCCCAAGAGUCCACAUCGACGGGGAGGUUUGGCACCUCGAUGUCGGCUCGUCGCAUCCUGGGGCUGUAGUCGGUCCCAAGGGUUGGGCUGUUCGCCCAUUAAAGCGGCACGCGAGCUGGGUUCAGAACGUCGUGAGACAGUUCGGUCCCUAUCCGUCGCGGGCGCAGGAAAUUUGAGAGGAGCUGUCCUUAGUACGAGAGGACCGGGAUGGACACACCGCUGGUGUACCAGUUGUUCCGCCAGGAGCAUCGCUGGGUAGCUAUGUGUGGCAGGGAUAAACGCUGAAAGCAUCUAAGCGUGAAGCCCCCCUCAAGAUGAGAUUUCCCAUUUCUUCGGAAAGUAAGAUCCCUGAAAGAUGAUCAGGUAGAUAGGUUUGGAGUGGAAGUGUAGCGAUACAUGGAGCGGACAAAUACUAAUCGAUCGAGGACUUAACCAAA